Non-coding RNA from Podarcis lilfordi (Lilford's wall lizard), 77 nucleotides. The record is from the annotation of a GenBank genome assembly. NCBI's taxonomy places the organism in Eukaryota, Metazoa, Chordata, Lepidosauria, Squamata, Lacertidae.
GCAAGAUGCUCAGUUGGUUAGAGUGUGGUGCUGAUAACACCAAGGUUCCAAGUUCAAUCCCUGUAUAGAGAGCUGCA